GCUUCACUGCAGGCUGGCAUUGGUUCGGGCUUUUCUUGCGCAGUCUAGGUGGGAGGCUUUGAAGGUUUCCUUCCGGGAAGCUGGAGCCAUCAGUGAGAGACCACUCUGGAAAGGCUAGAAUCCUAAUGGUGAUCUUGAAUCAGGACACUUGACAUUGUCAGCUAGACAGUUUUUCUGGGGCGGAAGGCUCCUAAAAGGUAACGGAGCUGUGCAAAGGUUCCCUCAGUCUGGACGGAAAUCAGACGUGGAGUGUAAAGGCAAAAGGAGCUUGACUGCAAGACCUACAAGUCGAGCAGGAGCGAAAGCUGGCCUUAUGA
Molecule: ribosomal RNA, 317 nt
Filed under: uncultured alga
Lineage: Eukaryota
Description: bacterial LSU rRNA
Rfam family: Bacterial large subunit ribosomal RNA
Source: RNAcentral